This is an RNA transcript of Hemicordylus capensis (graceful crag lizard), 3185 nucleotides long. It is a transcript of the gene named KH RNA binding domain containing, signal transduction associated 1, with no coding region annotated. Lineage: Eukaryota; Metazoa; Chordata; Lepidosauria; Squamata; Cordylidae. The transcript is spliced from 12 exons. The record is from RefSeq and is a predicted model, not a curated record.
GCGCUGAGGCAAACCGAGCGCGCGAGCGAGGCGUCUCCGCUCCGGCCCUCUCCCCCCCACUUCCUGUCUUUGCGGCCCCGGCGCUCCGUCGGUCGGCGUGGCCACCCUGUUCCCGCGCGCGCCCCCCCUGCCGCUCCUUCGGCCGCGGAUGCAGCGCCGCGAGGACCUCGCCGCCGCCCGCCUGGGCCGGGCCCCGCCCGCCUCCGCCGCCCCGGGCCGGCUCCAGUCGCCUCAGGCCGCGGCCUCGCCCCGGAGGCCGCCCCGCGGGGGCGGGGGCGCGCGAGGGGCCCAGCCGCCUCCGCUCCUGCCGCCCUCAGCCACGGGCGCCUCGGCCGGCCCGCCAGCCCCCAGCGCCGCGCCCACCCCGCUGAUGCCGCCCAGCGCCUCCGCCAAGGCCGAGCCGGAGAACAAGUACCUGCCCGAGCUCAUGGCCGAGAAGGACAGCCUGGAUCCCUCCUUCACCCACGCCACGCAGCUCCUGCAAGCGGAAAUUGACAAAAUUCAGAAGGGUGAAUCAAAAAAGGAUGAGGAUGAGACCUAUCUGGACUUGUUUUCCCAUAAGAACAUGAAGCUGAAGGAACGAGUUCUGAUCCCAGUCAAGCAGUACCCCAAGUUUAACUUUGUUGGGAAGAUAUUGGGACCCCAAGGCAACACCAUCAAGCGGCUACAGGAAGAAACCGGAGCAAAGAUUUCUGUUCUUGGAAAGGGGUCCAUGAGAGACAAGGCAAAGGAGGAAGAAUUGCGCAAAGGAGGUGAUCCAAAGUAUGCGCACUUAAAUAUGGACCUGCAUGUCUUCAUUGAAGUCUUUGGGCCACCCUGCGAGGCUUAUGCUCUAAUGGCACAUGCCAUGGAAGAGGUCAAGAAGUUCCUUGUUCCGGACAUGAUGGAUGACAUCUGCCAGGAGCAGUUUUUGGAGCUUUCCUACCUCAAUGGGGUGCCGGAACCGACACGAGGCCGAGGGAUUCCUGUGCGAGGAAGGGGAGCUGUGCCCCCGCCUCUGCCUGUUCCUAGUGUGUGGAGUGGGGCAGCCUUGCUGAAAAGGGGACGUGGUGUGGGACCACCGCCGCCGCCUCCACGUGGAGCCCUGGUGCGAGGGGCUCCCGUGAGGGGUGCCAUUGCCAGAGGAGCAGCUGUGGCCCGUGGCGUCCCCCCUCUUCCAGCGGUGAGAGGCGCCCCUGCCCCCAGAGCUCGGGCUGCUGGCAUUCAAAGAAUACCGCUUCCUCCCCCUCCGGCACCAGAGUCCUAUGAAGACUAUGGCUAUGACGAUGCUUACGCGGAGCAAAGUUACGAAGGCUAUGAAGGCUACUACAGCCAGGGUCAACAGGAAACUGAAUACUAUGACUAUGGACAUGGUGAAGCCCAAGAGUCGUAUGAAGCCUAUGGCCAAGAUGACUGGAAUGGAACUAGGCCUUCGCUGAAGGCCCCUCCAGCUAGGCCAGUGAAGGGAGCGUACAGAGAGCACCCAUACGGACGCUAUUAAAGCAUUCAUGAGGGGGAAAUGUCACUUUUGAGCAAACAGUUGUUUCUGAUUCUUGUAUCUCCCAGGAUUCCUGUUGCUUUACCCACAUCAGACAAGAGGCAUGCUGCCAUUGCUCGGGGUGAAAAAUGAGGAGAAGCUGCUGAGGACGAGUUGGGGGUCUGGUGACAUUUUAAAAUGUUGUGAAGAAUGCUAGGAGUUGAGCAAGAUGGGAGCUAGGCCUGAUGAAUUGACCUUUGAGGAGCACACUGAAUAUAUGCCGGUGGUUUUUAAACCUUGUAUGCAUCACGACUACUAUAAUUGGCUCUCUCUUUUUGGACCCCACACUUUUUCCCACCACUGCAUGGCAGAACUCUCCUAAGACUUACAAAUUAACUCUGCUGCAUUUCUGCUCCGGAGGCCAAGAAAGCCAUAUGCAAGCAUGGAUGGAAGCAGGAGCGGCUUGUCCUAGCUGGGUGUGGGCAGGGAGAAGGCACAGCUGCCUCCCCAGAGUUCUGUUUGUGCCUCUCUCUCACUUCGCAUUGCCUGCAGGCUUGCCAUUGUCAGGGAGGCAGUUAGCUGUGCACCUGAGCACUUUCCAGAUUAAACCCGACAACCAUGUCAGGAUGGGUCUGCUAAGUGUGCUUCCGUACUUCCUGUGUUGUGACACCACAGUCCCUGCACUGACAGCAAGGUGCCGUUCACAUUUCCAAUGCCUUCUUUCGGGUUUUAUCUUUGCAUUAUAGUGCUACAACGUUGCAAGUCCAUUGCAUACAAGUAGCUGUAGUUUCCCGUUGUAGGAGUUUGAGAUUCAGGGGAUCAUUUUCAAUAUGAUCCUGCCAAGCCAAAGCAUUUGACCCCUGUUGUAGGGUGAACAGCCAGCCUGCAGGCAGUGCAGCUCUCAUUAAUGUGGGGGUGGGGCAGAAGAGAGAGGAGCAAACAGAAUUCCGGAAGGAGAGGCAGCUGUGCCUUCUUGGCCACCCCCCAACAGCUUGUUAGGAUGAGCUACUCCUGUGUGGAAACACAUAGCCACUUUUGCUUUGCUGAGGAGGCAAACUGCUCUUCAGUUGAAAUUGUAGGAUUUAACCCAGAGUGCUUGUCGAGCAGACAUGCAAACUUCUGGCUCUUUAGCUAGUCUCCUGGGCCAUUUGAAACCAUGGCCCUUGGACCGCAAUUUACAAAGCUUUGGCUUUUUAAUUGCAAAGUAGUUGUUUACUUUUUUUACUAUGAGUAAUUUGCUUUUUUGCAAAGUAUUUGCUGACUAAAUGCUUUGUUUCAGAAAACUUUCUCCUUUUCCUCCAAUAGGUGGAGUUUUCAAAUCCAAGAAAAUGAGUUGGAGGCUCCUUACUCUCCCCAAGACUGACCUUUUCAGAAUUUGCAGUUUGUAAAAAAAAUUGUUGAACUGAAGCUUCAGAAGUUUAUACUUUAACAAGAUUUGCACUUUGAAUCUGAUGCUACCUCAGUUUGGCCUGCUUAAAAUCUUCAGCCUAAUCCUGAAACUGCUCGUGAAUGAACAUCUAGGAUAUAGAAACACAAUUUUUGCCAGCACAUUUUCAUAUGUGUUACAGGCAAAUAAACCAGUGUAAGAAUAAAACGAUUGCACUGGUCUUCUGGAAUUCUAUUUUAUAAUACUGCAUUUUGGAUGGUAUUGCUGGAACAGGGAGUGGAUUAGCCCAGUGUGCUGUAAUAUUGAGUACAUUUUAAUAAAGCAAUAUUUUUAAAAAAUUGA